AGUGAACGCUGGCGGCAGGCCUAACACAUGCAAGUCGAGCGGCAGCGCGUCCGACCACCCUCGGGUGGUCGGAUGGCGGCGAGCGGCGGACGGGUGAGGAAUGCAUCGGAAUCUGCCUCGUUGUGGGGGAUAACGUAGGGAAACUUACGCUAAUACCGCAUACGACCUACGGGUGAAAGUGGGGACCUUCGGGCCUCACGCGACGAGAUGAGCCGAUGCCGGAUUAGCUAGUUGGCGGGUAAAGGCCCACCAAGGCGACGAUCCGUAGCUGGUCUGAGAGGAUGAUCAGCCACACUGGAACUGAGACACGGUCCAGACUCCUACGGGAGGCAGCAGUGGGGAAUAUUGGACAAUGGGGGCAACCCUGAUCCAGCCAUGCCGCGUGUGUGAAGAAGGCCUUCGGUUGUAAAGCACUUUGUUGGGUAGAAACGGCCGGGUUAAGUAACCCUGGUUGAAUGACGGUACCAAACGAAUAAAGACACGGCUAACUUACGUGCCAGCAGCCGCGGUAAAAGU
RNAcentral lists this ribosomal RNA (516 nucleotides) under uncultured bacterium. Its description in RNAcentral is "bacterial SSU rRNA". It matches the Rfam family "Bacterial small subunit ribosomal RNA", at positions 29 to 527 of the family's 1533-position model. The record is from RNAcentral.